Molecule: long non-coding RNA, 218 nt
Filed under: Solanum lycopersicum (tomato)
Lineage: Eukaryota; Viridiplantae; Streptophyta; Magnoliopsida; Solanales; Solanaceae
Description: partial TCONS_00180871
Source: RNAcentral
GCUAUGAGGCAAAUCAUAAUUUCCAGUGCUUUGGUGAAAUGGCUCCUCGAGUACAUCCUGUAGUUCUCAGCAAACUUCUCAUGUCUCACGACAAAACCACGCCCAGUUGCUCUGUAUUUCGCGCCACCAUGUAAAAUUGUGCGGCCAAAGUAAAGAAAACAGCAGCCAACUGCAGGUUCAUUAUGAUAAUGUCACCUAAAGCAGUCCUGAAGCCUCUU